AAGUUCCCUCCCUCACUCUCCGGCGAAGCCUGCCUGAGCCCUCCCACUCGGUGCAGACCGAACCAUCGCGGCCGCCGCCAGCCGGGCCCUUCGCGGCCGCGCGUCCUGGGCCCGUUCCGCCAGCCCCGUCUGCUCUCUACCCGCGGCCCCGCGGCGGCGACCGUGAACACUCGGCGGCCCCUACAGCCCGCUCUCGGCCCUUCGUCCCUCGCGGGCCCCGACUCUCCCUCCUUGCAGUCCCCCGGAGCCUGGCUCCCGGCUCGGGCCGCACCGCCAGGGACUGGGGUGAGCGGCCCAGAAAUCUCCAAAUUGGACAUCCAGAGCAGCAUUCUUGUUCUGUCUACGUCUUGAAUUAGAAACUAUCAAGCUCUGUAAGUCCUGAAAAGGAAAUAAAAGCAAUUUCCUGCUGCAGAGAGCAUUUUAAGAAAGGACAGCAUUCCUGUGACCUCUGCCUACCAUCCAUAAAAUACUCAUUCCCCUCUCAGCUCUGCCUGCAGUUGAACACAAAGACCUGGAGGAGACUCCCACCUCCUUCAGGGAGAAGAAAGGAGGCAGCGAAGCAGAUUAAAGGAACUUGU
Molecule: long non-coding RNA, 578 nt
Filed under: Homo sapiens (human)
Lineage: Eukaryota; Metazoa; Chordata; Mammalia; Primates; Hominidae
Description: non-protein coding lnc-FAM110B-1:3
Source: RNAcentral